GACGAACGCUGGCGGCGUGCUUAAUACAUGCAAGUCGAGCGAAAUUUUUCUUUUGCUUGCACCGGAAAGACUAAGCGGCGAACGGGUGAGUAGUACGCAAAGAACCUGCCUUAUAUACUUGGAGUACUCUUGGAAAAGUUCGCUAAAACCGUCUAACAGCCUUGACUGGAGUGUUGAUGUUUGAACGUUGGUUUUGCUAAUACUGUGAUAUCGCUUUGCGGUUCAUUAGCUAGUUGGUGGGGUAAUGGCCUACCAAGGCGACGAUGCAUAGCCGAGCUGAUGGGGGGAUCGGCCACUCUGAGACUGAGACACGGCCCUGACUCCUAGGGGAGGCAGCAGUAGGGAAGCGUCCGCGAUGGGCGAAAGCCUGACGGAGGAACGCCGCGUGAGUGCAGAAGGACUGCGGUCCGUAAAACUCUGUUGUUAGUGAAGAACGCUUGUGUAGGAACCGUACCCAGUAGUGACGGUACCUAAACAGAAAGCAACGGCUAACUACGUG
Molecule: ribosomal RNA, 499 nt
Filed under: uncultured bacterium
Lineage: Bacteria
Description: partial 16S ribosomal RNA
Rfam family: Bacterial small subunit ribosomal RNA
Source: RNAcentral